CGUAGCUGGAUUUCUGUUACUGGAGGGGUGGUCCGCCUCACGGCGAGCACUGCUAUCCUCUGUGACAUCCUCUCAAAGUUUUAGCGGGUGCACUUAGUUGUGUGGCUGUUGAAUUUGGGAUCUUUACUUUGAAAAAAUUAGAGUGUUCAAAGCAGGCUAUUUGCUUGAAUAUAUUAGCAUGGAAUAAUGGAAUAGGACUUUGGUUCUAUUUUGUUGGUUUCUAGGACUGAAGUAAUGA
RNAcentral lists this ribosomal RNA (238 nucleotides) under uncultured eukaryote. RNAcentral's name for it is "partial 18S ribosomal RNA". It matches the Rfam family "Eukaryotic small subunit ribosomal RNA", at positions 629 to 868 of the family's 1831-position model. The record is from RNAcentral.